Neoarius graeffei (lesser salmon catfish) is the source of this 667-nucleotide long non-coding RNA. RefSeq lists it as uncharacterized. The record is from RefSeq and is a predicted model, not a curated record. Lineage: Eukaryota; Metazoa; Chordata; Actinopteri; Siluriformes; Ariidae. The transcript has 2 exons.
ACUGGGCAGACGUGCGCGCGACGCGUCCUCAGGCACGUGCGCUCUUUGACAAUACUUCAAAGCCAGGUGAAUUUUUUUAUUAUUCUUUUUACAUUUGUUUGUUUGGCUUUUAUAGCCUUUUACAAUAAAAAAUAACAAGAGGAAGAAAAACCUCAAUGCACUUUGAGCUUCGGUACCCGGAAGCCUGGUGGGCUUUUUUUUUUUUUUAAUUCUGUCACAUGGCUCUGAGAUUUUUAAUAACAACAACAAAAAUGGCGACAUAUCACGUUGCGUCGCGCGCUGUGAGCUUGCUGCGUCAUUUAAAGAUAGUCACGUAAAUACAACCGCGGAGCAGGAAAGAAACCCGGAUACCCGAUGUUUUUGGUGAUUAUUAGGUCAUUUUGGCAGCCAACCGACGCCGUCUCGUGACAGCAGAAAAACCCAGACGAGCUGAUGGACUUGUUUACAAGAAGAGAUUUGCGCGGUGGGAGGGGCCACGUCUGGGCGGAGCAAAAUCCGAGCCCGCAAGGCGAUUGGACGAGCCGGUGAAGUCGAGCGCGCUGAGGGCGGAGCCUACAGGAUAAUAACAAGCUGGAAGAGAAGGAGGGUGGAGAGGUUUGGAUGAGGUGUCAGUAGGUGUUGGUUUAUUUUGUCAUAGUUGAAGACUGAUUAAAUAUAAUAGACUUGA